RNAcentral lists this long non-coding RNA (462 nucleotides) under Panax ginseng (ginseng). RNAcentral describes it as "long non-coding RNA (PGIN_LNC003881)". Lineage: Eukaryota; Viridiplantae; Streptophyta; Magnoliopsida; Apiales; Araliaceae. The record is from RNAcentral.
ACUAUGUGCUGACUGUACUAGACAGUACUAUGUGUUAAGAUAUAUUGUUCUAAUCGAACGAAUCAUCUGAUUAUUGAUAGGUUGUGAUAAAGAGAUAAAACCUAAGUUGAGAUUUGUAAUCAGUGAAUCAGGCAAGUAUCCUACCUUUGCAUUUCCUUUAUGCAAUGGACAUGAGUAAGAAGUUUCAGAAUUCUUUUCUAUUCCUGUACAGAUUAUGUACGCUUUGAUUAUCAACAUGUUAAUUCAGAUAUAUUUUCUGUUCGUUAAUUUCUAAAUGGUUAUACAAGUGUCCCCACUUGAAUAAUCAUGGCAUUUAUUCACAUGUUGAUACACCUUUGUCAAUUACCCGUAUAUAUAUAUAUGUUGAAUUACAUAUUAUUGUUGAGCAAGAUUAAAAACCUUCGGGUUUGGAACCAGAUAUGUAUAAACAUCCCUAUAUGGGAAAAAUUUUUGCGCCCAAGG